This is a long non-coding RNA of Ictalurus punctatus (channel catfish), 2682 nucleotides long. The record is from Ensembl. Lineage: Eukaryota; Metazoa; Chordata; Actinopteri; Siluriformes; Ictaluridae.
AAGUAAAGGGAAGUUCAUUGUGGUUUUUAUAUGAAGUCUGUUUCAAUUCCUUCUGUUUGAUUUGUUCGUUACAAACAGCGGAAAGUCUUUAAAUUUUGACAAUGAAUCUGAUAUGCAGUGGGGGUCGAAUAAUAAUUUUGACUACAACUGUACAGGGUGUCCCAAAAGUCUCCAUACACAAGGGACUGAAUAUGUUUGCCAGCAACACGUAGGUUGUGCCUUCGGCAGUGGAAGUUCAUGGAGGUCCACUUCCAGGUCGGUCCGCAACACUUCCAGUCUUUUUGAAUUUGUUCAUUAGUUCAACCAUCGAUCAGUGCCCUGAAUACUGAACUAGGGAGCUGGUUCAGACACACCCAGAGAAUGUUCCAUGAUGCCCUUAUUAUUGCUUAAUACAAAGUAGGUUACAGAUUUCGGUAUUAGGCUCGGUGAAUACCAAAAAACUUACCUGUAGUUGGACUGAGAAAAUUAUAUCGAUGGCUUGUUAAUCAAAGAUAUCGACCGUAUGAUCACUACUGAACGGUUUUCUUAUGGAAAAUGGACAACAGAACAAAUAAUAGCAGAGUAUAGAGAUGUCGUUACAGGUCAUGGCUGUCCGGACAGGGAAUUCUACAUGCCCUCUUUAAAGUGUGAGACACUUCCAGAGAGAAGACUGACCUGAUGAAUCCUGAAAAAGGAGCUGGUAAAUCUUCAUAGGCUGGGAAUCAUCACGAAUUGAGAUGCUAACUUGACACUGUUCUGACAAAAGAGUGCAACAAGAAGAAGAUUUGUUGUUUACUGUUGUGACAUUUUGUAUUUUGUGCUGUAGUACUCAGAAAACGUUGUAACUGUACAUGUACAUUAGGGGAAAAAAUCAGUGCUGCGCCAUCUUACUUUACUACAUGUGAUGGACCUUUGAAGGUAGUUUGGAAAAUAAUAUGUACUUACAAUAUUUUUCAUAAUGUGUCAUAUUUGCUGAUGCGGAGCUCCUGAAGACGGUAUCCUUUUUUAUGGUUAAACAAUAAUGACCAUGGCUCCCAUAGGUUAUUGGUGUGUAAAUGUUUUUAUGAUUUAAAAAAAAAAGGGAUUAGGUCAUCUAAUGGGACUCUGCUUCAAUUCCACCUUUUACUAUUCUUAAUAGUCACAGGAAAAUGUAUAAUAGGAGUUUGGAACUGUUAGGAUUUCGAAAGCAUUAUCAGGGAGUACAUAAAAACAUGUUUAUCAAGUAAUGGCUCUCUUAAUCAUUGAAAGCACCCAACCUUGAACCACAGUCAUCAUUCUGAAAUGCAUGCCUCCCUGCUCGCUGAGCCACCAGUACAAACACAAACCUGCUCCUAUGGGUCAUGCAGAAGGCAAAACCUUAACAAGCACUGGAUUACUUGUGGGUUAUUGGACAAUGGUAUUCAGGAUAAACACUAAGGUAGGUGAAGCCUUGUGGCUCUGUGGGAAUGCACUUGCCUCCCAUUGUUGUAGUUGAUGGUUCAAAUCCCCCUUGUGGGUUUCCCCCCCCCCUUUGGUGACAGUUAAAAAGGAUAAAUAUGUUUAACCAAAAAGAUUUUCAGUUAGAGUUCAUGUCAACGAUGGUGUUCCAGAAGGUGUGGGUUCUCUUCUACCUUUUGGCUACACGUGUGCCAUCGCUAUCCCUUGGUGGUGUAGUGGUUAGAGUUCAUGUGUGUGGGUUUUCAGGUUAUAACCCUCCUUUUGGCAGGUUCAAGAAUCAAAAGUGAUGCUGUGGAAGUAUGAAGGUGUGAUGGAGGGAGUGGUGUGUAGGCCUCUGUGGCUCAGUUGGCUAAGUCGUGAGUGCUGUGGAGCAGAAGGUGCUUGGAUCAAAACCCAGAAGGAGUGGCGUGGUUGGAGUUUGAGGGAUUGAGAGCAUGGAGGUGAGUGAGUGUCUGGUGCUCUAGCAGUUGUAGGUUGGGAGAUAGGUUGAGGAAGGGGUUGAGGAAGGGGUAGAGGAUUGGGUGAGUGAGUGUCUUGUGCUCUAGCAGUGGUAGGUUGAGGAAGGGGUUGAGGAUUGUCAAGUCACUUGUAGAAGUGGUGGAGUACAGAUGAGGGAUGUUCACUCAAGGGUGAGAGAGGGAGGACUAGGUUGGGUGUAAAAGAGAGGUUGAGUGGGUAUGAGCUCAGGAUGUGGUGGAGCAAGGUUGUGCUGUGAAGGAGGUAGGAGAGUGCACACCCUACAGUGCAGACCAAGAAUGUGUGGUGAGGGGUGUGCACUGGGGGCUGGUGGAGAGGAAGAGCCAGGCCUCACUUUUAUAAAAGGAAAUUACCCUGCUACAGCCCUAAUAGUAAUAAUAUAUUCUUAAAUGGCUUGGGAUCACAGGGUCUACUAAUAGGAAGAAUAAAUGUAAUAUCUACAGCUCCACUGCUGGCUCUCACACACCCCACUUCCUGAGACUCUACCUCUAUUCCUUUCCUACACCUAUCCCCCAGCUCCCUUCCCCUGGGUACACAGCCCCUGACUUUUUAGCCACACUCUCUGUUUGCUCUCCAGGCUGUGCACCCAGCUCUUCUUGGGACUCCACCUCUACCCUCCUCCCUACACCAGCUCCCCUGAGGUACCUGACACUCUACCUCCAACCACCACCUUCCUGCACCCAUCUAGCCUCCACCCACUUACAACUCCUCCUGGAACACCACCUACAACCACCAGAGUACCCUUCCUACACCAUUCACCCCACCACUACCACCACCACUACUACUACU